Molecule: regulatory RNA element, 147 nt
Organism: Enterococcus hirae ATCC 9790
Lineage: Bacteria; Bacillati; Bacillota; Bacilli; Lactobacillales; Enterococcaceae
Rfam family: glmS glucosamine-6-phosphate activated ribozyme aptamer
About the family: This entry contains a glucosamine-6-phosphate activated ribozyme that is found in the mRNA for GlmS.
Source: Rfam
UUUUAAGGAAUAGCGCCUGGUCUGUAGUUACAGAUGACGAGGAAAGGGUUUAUCGAAAUAUUCGGCGGAUGACCCUAGGGACUGCACUCUAUAGGAUCGAUCAAAACCUAUCUGUGAAGAUAGAACAAAAAUCGAUUCCAGCAGCUG